This is a long non-coding RNA of Panicum virgatum (switchgrass), 545 nucleotides long. RefSeq lists it as uncharacterized. Lineage: Eukaryota; Viridiplantae; Streptophyta; Magnoliopsida; Poales; Poaceae. The record is from RefSeq and is a predicted model, not a curated record. The transcript is spliced from 2 exons.
GAUUGAAGAUAGAUGGCAAGAUAGCUAGUAUUAUUGAUGAUGGAAUUGCUAAAAUUAAAGCUGAAGCCGUAAGGGAGAACAACAAUGAGCCAAAACCGAACUGGACGAUGGUACUGCUCACUAUGGCUGCUGGUUUUAUCGCGGGAGUGGAAUGCUUUCGAUAUGCCUUUCUUGCAUCAAAUGCCAAAGGAAGACGCACCCUCCAUGAGGGCAAGAGUAGACAUGCUUAGUUAAAUAGCCUAGGGCUUUCAGGUCCACUCUGUUUAUGCAAUGCAAAACCAAUUAGGUAAUCUUGGUAAAACAUUGUUAGCUAAUUAUGGUAUGCAAAACCUAUUUAUGUUGAAUGAUUGUCGUGCUAGUUUUUGGCAUAUAUCAUGUAACUUGUACUUGUAACAUGUUGCUGUUCUAUGCUGCAUGGAGCAGGUGCUCGGUUAAGUACUGCAGGUUAAUUAGUGUUUGGUAGUAACUGAAUGUGGUGUGUUUGGUGCUUACCUAGGCAUGGUCUGUUGUGAUUAUUUAUGGAACAAUUCAUGGUGUGACACUUA